RNAcentral lists this unclassified non-coding RNA (2437 nucleotides) under Hevea brasiliensis (rubber tree). The record is from RNAcentral. Lineage: Eukaryota; Viridiplantae; Streptophyta; Magnoliopsida; Malpighiales; Euphorbiaceae.
GAAAGGGAUAUGAAAAAGCUUCCCCGCUGCGGCUGGUGAAGGAAGUCGGAAACAAUGGAAGCAGUGGCGGAGGGACUUUGGGGACUGGCAGAUUAUGAGGAGAAGAAGGGAGAAAUCGGAAAAGCUGUGAAAUGCUUGGAAGCUAUAUGUCAAAGCCAAGUUUCUUUCCUUCCUAUUAUCGAGAUUAAAACACGCCUCCGCAUUGCUACUCUCCUUCUCAACCACUCCAAUAAUGUCAACCAUGCCAAAUCCCAUCUCGAACGUUCUCAAUUGCUGUUGAAGUCCAUUCCCUCAUUCUUUGAGCUCAAAUGCAGAGCAUAUAGCUUGUUGAGCCAGUGUUACCAGCUAGUCGGGGCUAUUCCUUCACAAAAGCAGAUACUGAACAAGGCUUUAGAACUUAUUUCGACUUCUGAAGAUGGGUUUUCCGGGAGGUUAUGGUACUGCAACUUCAAUUCUCAACUAGCAAAUGCUCUAACAAUUGAAGGAGAUCAUCAUGGUUCAAUUUCCGCACUGGAUGAUGGCCUAAUGUGUGCAACUCAAAUGUGCUAUCCGGAGUUACAGAUGUUUUUUGCAACUUCGAUCUUGCAUGUGCACCUCAUGCAAUGGGAGAAUGAAAGUUCCGUUCGAGAUGCUCUCAACAGAUGCGAUGUAAUAUGGGAAUCUAUUGAAUUGGAAAAAAGACAGCAAUGCCUUGGUUUACUAUUUUACAACGAGCUGUUGCAUGUAUUUUAUCUACUUCGGAUAUGCGACUACAAGAAUGCUGGUCAACAUGUUGACAAAUUGGAUGCUGCCAUGAAGUCUGAUUUACAGAGGAGGCAACAGAUCAAUGAAUUGAGUAAGGAGCUUGAUGCAGUGAAUGAAAGUCUCUCUCGUUCUGAUUUAAAUUACAGAGACAGAUCUGCCCUUUCUGCAAAACGAGCUUACCUUGAGGAGCAACUUAGUAACUUAACUGGAAAUGACAAAGAAUUUUCUGAACCAAUAUACUUUGGAAGUGCAAGACGAACUUGGGAAGACAAGCUGGGAUUGGCACCACCUCCUGUUGAUGGAGAGUGGCUACCUAAAGGUGCUAUUUAUGCAUUGAUAGACCUUACAGUAGCCAUUUUUAACCGCCCCAAAGGACUUUUUAAGGAGUGCUUGAAGAGGAUCCAGUCUGGCCUGCAAACUGUUCAAGAGGAGCUGAAAAAGUAUGGGAUUCUUGAUGGAAUGAGAGAAGUGGAUUUGCAACACUCUGCUAUUUGGAUUGCCAGUAUCUAUUUGAUGCUCCUUAUGCACUUUCUUGAAAACAAAGUAGCAGUUGAUCUUACGCGUUCUGAAUUUGUUGAAGCGCAAGAGGCAUUGGUGCAGAUGAGAAGUUGGUAUUUUCGCUUUCCAACAAUUUUACAAGCUUGUGAGUGUGUUAUUGAAAUGCUUCGAGGACAGUAUGCACAUUGUGUCGGCUGCUACGAUGAAGCAAAUUAUCAUUUCCUUGAAGCUUCAAGGCUAAGUGAGAACAAAUCAAUGCAAGCCAUGUGCUUUGUUUAUGCAGCAAUCUCUUACAUCUGCAUGGGAGAUGCUGAAUCCUCAGCAAAGGCCCUUGAUCUGAUCGGACCAGUUUUAGGAGUGAUGGAUUCUUUCACGGGAGUGCGAGAGAAAACGAGUGUCCUCCUUGCUCAUGGAUUUCUACUGAUGAGGCAGCAAAAUCUACAAGAAGCAAGAAAUCGACUAGCGUUUGGCUUGCAGACAACACAUAAUACUUUGGGGAAUCUGCAACUUGUUUCACAAUAUUUGACUGUAUUGGGGAAUCUAGGACUUGCCCUCCGCGACACUGUACAAGCUAGGGAGAUCUUGAGGUCCUCUCUUACAUUAGCUAAGAAGCUUAAUGAUAUUCCAACUCAGAUCUGGGUAUUAUCGAAUUUGACAGCUAUGUACCAGCAACUGGGUGAAAAAGGGAGUGAAAUGGAGAAUCUUGAUUACCAAACAAAGAAAGUAGAGGAUCUGCAAAAAAGGAUUUCUACUGCAUGUUUGUCCAGUCACCAUGUUGAACUGAUUGCCAAAGUGAAAGCUGAAGCCUAUCAAUUGAGUGAGACUGACAUUAAACGAGCAAUCUCUGGCCCUUCUAUGAGAGUUGAUCUGGACAUUCCUGAAUCCAUUGGUCUGUCAGUAACUUCUCCCAUGGCGUCCUCAUCAAGGCUUAUGGAUUUUGAUAUGGGAAGACUGCGAAAGAGAAAAGCUUAAUUUUCUACUUAUAAAUUUGUAAUUAUUUCUUUGAUAAAACCAACGUAAGAGGUGAGAGUGUGCUUCCUUUCCUUCUUGGUCUUUCAAGGAUGUCCAAUUAUGAUAGUUGAUAGUUUACGGAUCUUUAUUGUGCAGUGAUAUUGUAAUAUAUAAUCCCUAACUUCUUCCCAGAAAAAAACAAGGGAUGAUAAACUAUUGACUGGAAUUGCUAAAAGAUAUGUGC